CCUACGGGUGGCAGCAGUCGAGAAUCAUUCACAAUGGGGGAAACCCUGAUGGUGCGACGCCGCGUGGGGGAAUGAAGGUCUUCGGAUUGUAAACCCCUGUCAUGUGGGAGCAAAGUAAAAAGAUAGUACCACAAGAGGAAUAGACGGCUAACUCUGUUCCAGCAGCCGCGGUAAUACAGAGGUCUCAAGCGUUGUUCGGAAUCACUGAGCGUAAAGCGUGCGUAGGCUGUUUCGUAAGUCGUGUGUGAAAGGCGCGGGCUCAACCCGCGGACGGCACAUGAUACUGCGAGACUAGAGUGAGGGAGAGGGAACCGGAAUUCUCGGUGUAGCAGUGAAAUGCGUAGAUAUCGAGAGGAACACUCGUGGCGAAGGCGGGUUCCUGGACAUUCACUGACGCUGAGGCACGAAGGCCAGGGGAGCGAAAGGGAUUAGAUACCCGGGUAGUC
This 446-nucleotide ribosomal RNA is filed under the name uncultured bacterium. RNAcentral's name for it is "partial 16S ribosomal RNA". It matches the Rfam family "Bacterial small subunit ribosomal RNA", at positions 338 to 795 of the family's 1533-position model. The record is from RNAcentral.